RNAcentral lists this ribosomal RNA (194 nucleotides) under Eubacterium limosum. RNAcentral describes it as "partial 16S ribosomal RNA". It matches the Rfam family "Bacterial small subunit ribosomal RNA", at positions 1 to 175 of the family's 1533-position model. The record is from RNAcentral. Lineage: Bacteria; Bacillati; Bacillota; Clostridia; Eubacteriales; Eubacteriaceae.
UUUUUAUUGAGAGUUUGAUCCUGGCUCAGGACGAACGCUGGCGGUAUGCUUAACACAUGCAAGUCGAACGAGAAGGUUUUGAAUGAUCCUUCGGGUGAAAUUAGAACUGGAAAGUGGCGAACGGGUGAGUAACGCGUGGGUAACCUGCCCUAUGGAAAGGAAUAGCCUCGGGAAACUGGGAGUAAAGCCUUAUA